RNAcentral lists this ribosomal RNA (253 nucleotides) under uncultured prokaryote. RNAcentral describes it as "partial 16S ribosomal RNA". It matches the Rfam family "Bacterial small subunit ribosomal RNA", at positions 525 to 777 of the family's 1533-position model. The record is from RNAcentral.
ACGAAGGGGGCUAGCGUUGCUCGGAAUCACUGGGCGUAAAGCGCGCGUAGGCGGAUCGUUAAGUCGGGGGUGAAGUCCUGGAGCUCAACUCCAGAACUGCCUUUGAUACUGGCGAUCUUGAGUCCGGGAGAGGUGAGUGGAACUCCGAGUGUAGAGGUGAAAUUCGUAGAUAUUCGGAAGAACACCAGUGGCGAAGGCGGCUCACUGGCCCGGUACUGACGCUGAGGUGCGAAAGCGUGGGGAGCAAACAGGA